AACAAGGCGUACCUGCGGACCUGCGGAAGGAUCAUUACAGAGUUGCAAAACUCCCUAAACCAUUGUGAACGUUACCUAAACCGUUGCUUCGGCGGGCGGCCCGGGUCCUUCCCGGCGCCCAUCGGCCCUCGCGGGCGCCCGCCGGAGGUAAACCAAACUAUUGCAUUGUAUGGCCUCUCUGAGUCUUCUGUACUGAAUAAGUCAAAACUUUCAGCAACGGAUCUCAGAUCGGAAGAGCAC
This 240-nucleotide unclassified non-coding RNA is filed under the name soil metagenome. RNAcentral describes it as "partial contains 5.8S ribosomal RNA, internal transcribed spacer 2, and large subunit ribosomal RNA". The record is from RNAcentral.